RNAcentral lists this ribosomal RNA (483 nucleotides) under uncultured bacterium. RNAcentral's name for it is "partial 16S ribosomal RNA". It matches the Rfam family "Bacterial small subunit ribosomal RNA", at positions 29 to 507 of the family's 1533-position model. The record is from RNAcentral.
ACGAACGCUGGCCGCGUGCUUAACACCUGCCAGUCGAACGGAAAGGCCCUGCUUGCAGGGUACUCGAGUGGCGAACGGGUGGGUAACACGUCGGUGAUCUGCCCUGCACUUCGGGAUAAGCCUGGGAAACUGGGUCUAAUACCGGAUAGGAGCCAUUUUUAGUGUGCUGGUUGGAAAGUUUAUUCGGUGUAGGAUGAGCUCGCGGCCUAUCAGCUUGUUGGUGGGGUAAUGGCCUACCACGGCGGAGACGGGUAGCCGGCCUGAGAGGGUGGACGGCCACACUGGAACUGAGGCACGGGCCAGGCUCCUAAGGGAGGCAGCAGUAGGGAAUCUUCCGCAAUGGGCGGAAGGCUGACGGAGCAACGCCGGGUGAGUGAUGAAGGUCUUCGGAUCGUAAAACUCUGUUAGUAGGGAAGAACAAAUGUGUAAGUAACUAUGCACGUCUUGACGGUACCUAAUCAGAAAGCGACGGCUAACGACGUG